AGUGCGAGCCCUGUGAAAACGAGAACCUCAUCUGUCUCCUUCACCACUGGAACUCCAGCAUCCAGAAUAGUCCCUGGACCUGAUGAGCUGUGUGUCUGUGAUCUGUUGAUGAGGGUGGCGAAGGACUACUCAAUCAACUGGGGUGUACAAAAUGGAGUUUGAGAAGGGCAUGCUGAUGCAAGAGGUGGGCUCCAUGGCCUUGGGCAGAUCUGCUCCUGUGGAUUUUCCUGGUACAGCCCUUCUUCCUGCUGCUUUCAUAGCUGGUGAUGAGUAUCUGUGGCUUUUCCAGGUCUCACAUCUAAGUCGUUUUGAAGCAAAGUCCAAGCAUUGUAUCAUUUCCUCUGCAAAUAUUUUAAUAAGUACCCAAAAGUCUAAGACAGAAGAAAACUGCAGAAGAUUGCUACCUACUCAAGUAGAAAAACUCAAGCUGGAAAAUUAA
Callithrix jacchus (white-tufted-ear marmoset) is the source of this 439-nucleotide long non-coding RNA. The record is from Ensembl. Lineage: Eukaryota; Metazoa; Chordata; Mammalia; Primates; Cebidae.